This 492-nucleotide ribosomal RNA is filed under the name uncultured bacterium. RNAcentral describes it as "partial 16S ribosomal RNA". It matches the Rfam family "Bacterial small subunit ribosomal RNA", at positions 29 to 507 of the family's 1533-position model. The record is from RNAcentral.
AGUGAACGCUGGCGGUAGGCCUAACACAUGCAAGUCGAACGGCAGCACAGUAAGAGCUUGCUCUUACGGGUGGCGAGUGGCGGACGAGUGAGGAAUACAUCGGAAUCUACUUUUUCGUGGGGGAUAACGUAGGGAAACUUACGCUAAUACCGCAUACGACCUACGGGUGAAAGCAGGGGAUCUUCGGACCUUGCGCGAUUGAAUGAGCCGAUGUCGGAUUAGCUAGUUGGCGGGGUAAAGGCCCACCAAGGCGACGAUCCGUAGCUGGUCUGAGAGGGUGAUCAGCCACACUGGAACUGAGACACGGUCCAGACUCCGACGGGAGGAAGCAGUGGGGAAUAUUGGACAAUGGGCGCAAGCCUGAUCCAGCCAUACCGCGUGGGUGAAGAAGGCCUUCGGGUUGUAAAGCCCUUUUGUUGGGAAAGAAAAGCAGCAGGUUAAUACCCCGCUGUUCUGACGGUACCCAAAGAAUAAGCACCGGCUAACUUCGUG